RNAcentral lists this long non-coding RNA (244 nucleotides) under Mytilus galloprovincialis (Mediterranean mussel). The record is from RNAcentral. Lineage: Eukaryota; Metazoa; Mollusca; Bivalvia; Mytilida; Mytilidae.
UUUUGCCAAAGUCUGCAUUUAAGCCUAUAGAAAAUUUGUGCUUCAUUGAACAUAAGAAUUUGUGGUUCGCUGCAAUCCACAAAAUUGACAAAAGUUGGUAACCACAAAUAACAAUGAAUUGACAUUUUUGAUUUAGUGAUGACAAUAUUAGUCUGAGAAAACCUUUAUGAGGUAUUUAUACAUGUAGUCAGAUUUCUGAAAGGAGUAGGGGCAAUAAGGCUCUUAUUUGGCCCAAAUAUUACUG